RNAcentral lists this ribosomal RNA (1050 nucleotides) under Triticum aestivum (bread wheat). Its description in RNAcentral is "partial small subunit ribosomal RNA". Lineage: Eukaryota; Viridiplantae; Streptophyta; Magnoliopsida; Poales; Poaceae. The record is from RNAcentral.
AUGUCGAAGCGGCGCAGGUCCGACGACGAGGGCGGCCCAAGGUCCAGGCGGUCACACGGCCGGCGGCAUCAUCUGUACAUCGUGGUGGACGACUGGACCAAGGGCUACAGCAUAUACAAGGUGGACGUCGCCGACUUCGACGGCGAAUCUGGCACCGACUUGGACUCGCAGGCGAGCCGCCUCCCCGGACCGCCGGUCUUUCUCCUGGAGUUCCCCCACGACUGUUCCUCGCGCUUCGCCGCCAUCGGCGGCAGAAUCGUUGCCAUGCGCUACAACGACGGGGAGAACGCCGCCCCCGUCCUCCUGUACGACACGGCAACGGGAGGCCUCGCCCUUGGCCCGCGCACCCCCGUACAAGUACGGUACGUCUCCCAGCUCGUGCCCGCCGGCGGCAGGCUGUACGUCAUGGGCGCUAGCGGGCUGUACAAGGGCGAGGAUUACCUUGAGGUGCUCGCCGCCGACGAGAAAUGGGGCUGGGCCUGGAACGCCGUGCCCAUGCCGCCGUUCACCAUCAGCCAACUCACAUGCCACGCCGCGCACCCGGACGGCCGCACGGUAUUCUUCUCCGCCUCCCAUGACGGCACCUACUCGUUGGACACCGAGACUUCCGAGUGGAAGCGCCACGGCGACUGGAUGCUGCCUUUCCAAGGGCAGGCCUACUACGACGGCCAGGUGGAUGCAUGGGUGGGUCUCCACCGAGACUCCGCCGACCCAGGUGUCGUAUGCUCCUGUGACGUCGUGUCCGCCGGUGACGACGACGAAGGACUGCCGCCCCCGGCAUGGAAGCUCGCCAAGGAGAAGAUGGUGUGCGAGGACAUGGAGAGGACCAAGACCGUCACGCUCACGCGCAUGGGCCGCGGCAGGUUCUGCCUCGUCGAGCAUCGGUCGCGGAAAGGCGUGCCCUCGGACGUCCUUGACUCGCGCUACGCGACCACGUUUAAGCUCCGGUACGACAAGAACGGAGGUCUGCGGGCAACGGCGUGCCGGACUCGCUCCUACACGGUACCUAGGCAAUCGAAUGGCCUCAACUGGUGGCUGUUCGGGAUCUGA